This 497-nucleotide ribosomal RNA is filed under the name uncultured bacterium. Its description in RNAcentral is "partial 16S ribosomal RNA". It matches the Rfam family "Bacterial small subunit ribosomal RNA", at positions 28 to 507 of the family's 1533-position model. The record is from RNAcentral.
GAUGAACGCUGGCGGCGUGCCUAAUACAUGCAAGUCGAGCGCACGGACUAUAAGCUUGUUUCUCUUCUGUUAGCGGCGGACGGGUGAGUAACACGUUGAUAACCUACCUCUAAGACGUGGUUAACUUCUGGAAACCGCUGCUAAUACCGGAUCAUAUUUUUAACCGCAUGGUUCAAAUUUUAAUGAUGCUCUUGCUGUUACUAAUAGUUGUUUCCGCGUUGCAUUAGUUAGUUGGUAAGGUAACGGCUUACCAAGGCAACGAUGCGUAGCUGACCUGAGAGGGUGAUCAGCCACACUGGAACUGAGACACGGUCCAGACGCCUACGGGAGGCAGCAGUAGGGAAUAUUCCACAAUGGGCGAAAGCCUGACGGAGCAACGCCGCGUGAGUGAAGAAGGUCUUCGGAUCGUAAAACUCUGUUGUUAGGGAAGAACAGAUGUGAAAGUAAAAGUGGAAGUCAUGAAGGUACCAAAACAAAAAGCACCGGCUAACUACGUG